Molecule: ribosomal RNA, 688 nt
Filed under: Stenotrophomonas acidaminiphila
Lineage: Bacteria; Pseudomonadati; Pseudomonadota; Gammaproteobacteria; Lysobacterales; Lysobacteraceae
Description: bacterial SSU rRNA
Rfam family: Bacterial small subunit ribosomal RNA
Source: RNAcentral
GAAUGCAUCGGGAAUCUACUCUGUCGUGGGGGAUAACGUAGGGAAACUUACGCUAAUACCGCAUACGACCUACGGGUGAAAGCAGGGGAUCUUCGGACCUUGCGCGAUUGAAUGAGCCGAUGCCCGAUUAGCUAGUUGGCGGGGUAAGAGCCCACCAAGGCGACGAUCGGUAGCUGGUCUGAGAGGAUGAUCAGCCACACUGGAACUGAGACACGGUCCAGACUCCUACGGGAGGCAGCAGUGGGGAAUAUUGGACAAUGGGCGCAAGCCUGAUCCAGCCAUACCGCGUGGGUGAAGAAGGCCUUCGGGUUGUAAAGCCCUUUUGUUGGGAAAGAAAAGCAGCCGGUUAAUACCCGGUUGUUCUGACGGUACCCAAAGAAUAAGCACCGGCUAACUUCGUGCCAGCAGCCGCGGUAAUACGAAGGGUGCAAGCGUUACUCGGAAUUACUGGGCGUAAAGCGUGCGUAGGUGGUUGUUUAAGUCUGUCGUGAAAGCCCUGGGCUCAACCUGGGAAUGGCGAUGGAAACUGGACGACUAGAGUGUGGCAGAGGGUAGUGGAAUUCCUGGUGUAGCAGUGAAAUGCGUAGAGAUCAGGAGGAACAUCCGUGGCGAAGGCGACUGCCUGGGCCAACACUGACACUGAGGCACGAAAGCGUUGGGGAGCAAACAGGAUUAGAUACACUAAGGU